CCUACGGGGGGCUGCAGUGGGGAAUAUUGGACAAUGGGGGGAACCCUGAUCCAGCCAUGCCGCGUGCGUGAAGAAGGCCCUCGGGUUGUAAAGCACUUUCAGUGAGGAAGAACGCCUGGUGGUUAAUACCCAUCAGGAAAGACAUCACUCACAGAAGAAGCACCGGCUAACUCCGUGCCAGCAGCCGCGGUAAUACGGAGGGUGCGAGCGUUAAUCGGAAUUACUGGGCGUAAAGCGCGCGUAGGUGGCUUGAUAAGCCGGUUGUGAAAACCCCGGGCUCAACCUGGGAACGGCAUCCGGAACUGUCAAGCUAGAGUGCAGGAGAGGAAGGUAGAAUUCCCGGUGUAGCGGUGAAAUGCGUAGAGAUCGGGAGGAAUACCAGUGGCGAAGGCGGCCUUCUGGACUGACACUGACACUGAGGUGCGAAAGCGUGGGUAGCAAACAGGAUUAGAUACCCGUGUAGUC
RNAcentral lists this ribosomal RNA (465 nucleotides) under Vreelandella stevensii. RNAcentral describes it as "partial 16S ribosomal RNA". It matches the Rfam family "Bacterial small subunit ribosomal RNA", at positions 338 to 795 of the family's 1533-position model. Lineage: Bacteria; Pseudomonadati; Pseudomonadota; Gammaproteobacteria; Oceanospirillales; Halomonadaceae. The record is from RNAcentral.